UCCCGUCUUUAAACAAACGGCCCUUUUCAGGGCCACCAAUUUAUUCUUGAAAAAAGGAAUUUGCUAAGUGCUAUAUUGUACAUUUCAAUUCUGGUUGUGGUAAUGAUAAAAGGCGCGCAAAUUUGCUGAUUCAUUGCAAGGUGGCACUCUUGGAUUGUUUUGAUUCAACCUAAUUCGUCUGCGGUAGUUUGUUUGUCCGAUUGUGAGAGAAAAAUUAUUUCUUUUUUUAUGUUUCAUAUUUUGGUUAAUUUGGAUGUAUUUUAAAUGUUAUUGUCGUAUAGAUUUGUUUGUUUCCUUUCUAUAUCUCUGAUCUGAAUGAAAAUUCAUGUCUGAAGUGAAUUCAGUAUGAAUUUUUGAUCCACCUUAUUCAAAUUCAUGCAACCUUGCCCCGUCCCCCUCAAUUUAGUGCGAAUCAUUCAAAAUGGUCGCCGCUUGGCGUGUUGGUGGUAGCUGUGUGACAACGAUCCCCAUGGCAAUUCUCAUUCUCAGGAAUUUGAUAAUAUCUUCAGCUGAAGGUUUCGUGUGAUCUGGGUGCUUGUGAUAACAGUGAUAAAAUGGUCCAAUUCAAGCUGUCUUCCAAAACCAAGGAAAUUCAAGGGGUCAGGGUGAGAAAAGUCGCAUAAAAGGAGAGAGAAAAGAUCUAAGUAAUCAGUUGAGUGAGCACCUCCGACACGGCAACAACUGCUGUGCAGUGUGCAGUAUUUGACACUAAAUCGCAAUCAUGAUCAAUUAUGGUGUUGUGCUGCUGUUGGGUGGAAAAUCGUUGAUGGUUGGGUCGACCACUGGUGUACAGAUGUCUCCUGAGUAUGGCGGAUAUCAAAGCACAACGCUACUGUCUUAUUACUCAACAUCAACCAACGCUGCUCCAGCUUGCUACACCAAGGCUCCAAAGUACAACACCAUCAAGGCUUCAGAGUAUUACAAGUUGUAUUAAAGGAGAGAAAAGACGAAAUAAUCAGGCGAGUGAUUAUCUCCGACACGACAACAACUGCCGUGCACUAUGUCACCAACUGCAUUCUUCAUCAUCCAUAGGGCAAACUGUGGCGUCGUGCUGCUGUUGGUUGUUGUCCUCAAAUACUACACCACUGAGACUACAAUUUAUGCUGCCCGAGCUGCAUCACCAAAGAGCCCGAACACGUCCCCAGCAACGUCAACCUGCAGAAGGAAAGGCCAGUUUGUAUGUCCUUCACGGAGAUCAUUACGUAAAACUGUCAAUGCGGUGGUGUAGAGGUUGGGUGAGAACGGGAAGUGUUUGCUUCAUUAUCAAGCAGGUAAAAUAGCCGUAAGGCUUAAGAGAGAGGUCAGGGUAAGAAAAAAUUAGUAUAAAAGGAGAGACAAAAGGCCAUAGAAAUCAGUUGAGUGAGCAUAUCUGACACGGCAACAACUGCUGUACACUUUUUGUCACCAACUGCAUUCUCCAACGUAAUACCAGUUCGAAACCAAAUGUUAACUAUGGCGUUGUGCUGCUGUUGGUUGUUGUAUCCUUGAUGGUUGGGUCGACCACUGGUGUACCGACGUUUCGUGGUUAUGGUUGAUACCAAACCGCAACGCCGCCGUUUUACUACACAACAACAACGUUCGCAAUAACCGGAUGCUACACUACCAAGGCCGCUGAGUAUUACACCACAACCUAUGAUGUCCCGAACUACUACACCGAAGCCUCAAAGUAUAAUUCUGCCUCGAGUUACACCACCAAGGCAGCGGAGUACUACACCACCAAGGCAGCGGAGUACUACACCACCAAGGCAGCGGAGUACUACACCACCAAGGCAGCGGAGUGCUACACCACCAAGGCAGCGGAGUACUACACCACCAAGGCAGCGGAGUACUACACCACCAAGGCAGCGGAGUGCUACACCACCAAGGCAGCGGAGUACUACACCACUAAGGCAGCGGAGUACUACACCACUAAGGCAGCGGAGUACUACACCACCAUGUAUGCUGCCCUUGCCUUUUCGACCGAGGCUCCCAAGUACUACUCCGUUCCCAGCUACAACACCGAGGCUCCAGCUUAUUACACCACCAAAUCGGUUAAAUAUUACACAGAAACGCCCAAGUACUAGUAUUUUGUCAACUUUGCGUCAGUUGUCUAUUGGUGUUGGAUUUCUUCAAGACCGGUAUGCUGAAUUGUGAAUUGUUUGUUUUAUGUUUUAGAAGUGACUACUGCCUUAUUCAUACGGACAUGUUCUUGUGGUUCGACGAUGAUAUUUCAAAGAUUAGUUACGAAAGACACUUGUAACUGUAGAUUUUAUCAAAUCUUAUAAGUAAUGGGGAAGUGGCUGACCUUUGUAAAAAACUAAAAAUGAAAGACUUUGAAGUUGAGAGAAAUAUAUUGAUACAAUUCAUAAA
Molecule: long non-coding RNA, 2349 nt
Filed under: Daphnia pulex (common water flea)
Lineage: Eukaryota; Metazoa; Arthropoda; Branchiopoda; Diplostraca; Daphniidae
Description: uncharacterized LOC124206231, transcript variant X2
Rfam family: Histone 3' UTR stem-loop (bases 14-58)
Source: RNAcentral